UCAGAAAUAAUACCUCUACUGGACCCAAAAAUAAUGCAUAUAAUGUAGAGGCUCCUCCUAAGAAAAAUCAGAACCGACCCUUCCGUAAGAAUUUCAAGAAGAAACCCUACAACCCUAGAAACCCUAACCACUACUACAAUGGGAAGCCUAUUCAAUCCCAGGAGCAGAAGAAGAAGAAAGAGGAAGGUGGUGCUCAUUUCUGUUAUGUGUGUGGUCGGACCAACCAUUUGUCUCCCCAGUGCUUCUAUAAGAAAACUUCACCUCUUCAAUCUAAGAAGAAGGGUCCACACACAUCCAGUGCUCAAGUCAACAUGGUGACUUCCGGCGCUGGCUCCUCUGAGACAGCUUUCAGGUCUGUUUCCUUCACUCCUGAAGUUAACAUGACUUUACAAGCACUUGAUUGAUGGAUUGAUACCGGAGCUGGUAUUCAUAUUUGUUCGGAUCGCUCCUGGUUUUCUUCUUUCCAGAUCUCAAGUGGAGGAGCUGUGAUCAUGGCAAACAGCUCGGAGGCGCGUG
This 516-nucleotide long non-coding RNA is filed under the name Phoenix dactylifera (date palm). RNAcentral describes it as "long non-coding RNA (PDAC_LNC000373)". Lineage: Eukaryota; Viridiplantae; Streptophyta; Magnoliopsida; Arecales; Arecaceae. The record is from RNAcentral.